RNAcentral lists this long non-coding RNA (1124 nucleotides) under Betta splendens (Siamese fighting fish). RNAcentral's name for it is "lncRNA (ENSBSLG00000022478.1)". The record is from RNAcentral. Lineage: Eukaryota; Metazoa; Chordata; Actinopteri; Anabantiformes; Osphronemidae.
UUUCUAUCCCAGUCUAUUUUCCAGACCGGCUGUAAUGACUGCACUGUGCGCAUCAAACGAAUUAAACGCACUUGACAAAUGGUCCAUGUUCAGCCGCUGAAAACAAGAACAUGCAACACCUCUCAGAAACAGCAUCAUUUAUUGAAGGAAACAUUUACUAGAACUGCUUUAGGAAAAAGGUACUAAUUAUGUUUUAAUUACAUUAGGCUGCUGCUUUGUCUGGAACUUGGGUAAUGGCAUGUAUGGAAGGUAACAAAUUAGAUUGCGUUAAGUUGUUUGUAUCACUGAUCGUUCGAUUUUACAGGGAAAUGUAACAAACGAAAAAUUAAAAGUAAAAAAUUACUCUACUUGUGGAUGAAUAUGAAUCAGUCCAUACAUAUCACAAAAAGGAAUGCUACUCUCUAGCAACAUGCUACACUUGUUACUUUGACAGCAAGACAAUGGCCACAAACAUGUGUAACCCAACAUUGAAAUGAACCUUCAUUCUCACAGUGUUUACUCUGCGGCUACACUUUAGAAAACUGGUCUAUAAGCAUUCCCGUCCCCUAAAGCAGCAUUCCUCAGGUGUUGACUGACAGGAUUAUUUCACUGUGGAGAAAAGCUCGUUGUUUCAUGAACAAAGGACAUUUUGUCACAUGAUCAGUGUGUGUGUGUGUGUGUGUGUGUGUGUGUGUGUGUGUGUGUGUGUGUGUGUGUGUGUGUGUGUGUGUGUGUAUGUGUGUGUGUGUGUGUGUGUGUGUGUGUAACAGAGAAUGUUAUGCUCUUGUGCAACUAUAAGUGAGCCUUUACCAGACUCAGCAGCAUAACCUGUACGAUCAUGGAGAGCUUUGUACUGUGCUUCCUUCUUCUGCUGCAGCUGGUACCACUGUCUGACGCUGGUUGUGCAGGACCACCAGCACUGUGCUGUGCUAAUAAAAACAACAGCUGUUAUAGGGGCUGUUUCUGUGAUGAGGCGUGUGUGAAAUUAGGCGACUGCUGUUCUGACUACGUCUCCACCUGCACACAGCGUAAGUGAACAUGUAAAAGGAGCAUACCGUACACAGCUACGGUCUGUCUGCUUUGGACAUGUCAGUGCUAAGAUGCUGUUCAACACGUAUAUUGUCUAUGAUGGUUGGUUAGGCUGU